Molecule: small RNA, 28 nt
Filed under: Bombyx mori (domestic silkworm)
Lineage: Eukaryota; Metazoa; Arthropoda; Insecta; Lepidoptera; Bombycidae
Description: ovarian small RNA-23019
Source: RNAcentral
UAGUCUAGACAAAUGUACAAGAAAUUGA